AAAAACGUACAGAACAUACCUGAACUAUUACCUAAAACUAUAAAUUUUUUUGAAUCUGUGUCUACCCAAACUUUUAAAAUUUUUAUUCACCAACCAACCUUUCAACUUGUUUGAUUUGAAUCAGUUAAUGAUACUUCGACUUUAAAAUUUAAACCGAUUACUUACUGUAAUGAAUUUCUAAUUGCGAGAAUUACAAAAACUCUGUAAAGAUAAACGACACACUUAAAAUUUAAAGUCAAAAUGCUAUAGACCGACUCAAAUCAAACAAAUUGAAAAAUUGAGCAGUAAUAUCAAAAUUUCGAAAGAUUAGAUAACCAACUCAAAAUAGUCCAUAAUUUAAAUAAGUACUGUACGUUUUUACCUAAAAAUUACUACAUUAUGUAUGCAUAUGUCGGCAACUUAUAUGUUAAUAAUCACUAGGUUGGUCAAGUGAUUGUUAUAUUAGGAUACUGGUUGCGAGCUUAUAAAAUGAGGCUCCUUAGACUUAAAAUUUUGCCUUCAAUGACUGAAGAUUCAUAUAUCUGUGCACCAAUAUAUAAGGACAAAUGAAUCAGACAUACAAUCGACGGUAUAAAACCAAAGUAUUUGAGCAAUCUAUAGCACUGCCGUAAUUUCAAAGUAAUAAAUAAGAAGCAUCACUAUAUAUUUACAGCAAUAGAAUAAAUGCUCAUUGCGACUCCGUUCAAAAUAAAAUAAAUCAUUUUUAAGCUAAAAUAUGUUGUUUAAAAAUUAUUACCAUUGCAUUUUGGAAUUGGCUAAAUAGAAAAUUGCAAAUUGUAAAACACAAUGCAAAAUUUAUAUAUAUAAACAUCUUCUUCAAUAUAUUUUAUAAUUUACUUAUAAAGCUUGUGAUAUUCAGCAGAUAAGGAGUUGGAUUAAAUGUCACGAUUGGAGUACUAUACUAGAUCUUCAAAGUUAUAAAAUAAUAUAAAUCACCUUUGUGAUAAAAUAUGCUACCUUAUAAAACCAAGAAUAAUAAAACUAUCCAAGCAACUACCAAAAAAAAAAAGUAAACAUUGUAUAAAACAUGCCUAAACUAUUAUCCAUUUUGAUCUUAAAUACCCAACCUCUAAAAAUCUCCCUUAAUUCAUUGAUAUAAACCACUGAGUGGCUCUUUAAUUUCAAAAUUUGAAUGCACUGUUUAUCUUUACAGGUUUAGUUAAUAUAUUUCAUACAAUUUGUAUAACUAUAAAUUCAUUAAAAUAAACUAUUAGCAUAAAUUUGUAUCCGAAAAGCCAUCAAACGACUUAAAUCAAAUAAAUUAAAAGAUUGGAUAAUAAAAUCAGAAAUUUUGAAAUAUUGAAUAGUGGAAUGAGAAUAAUCUAUAAUUCAAAUAAAUUUUACACAUGUUUAUCAAAAAAAAAAGUUUUAUAUCAAAAUAUUUACCAUUUUAGUUCUAUCCCAUUCAUGACAGUAGAAAGGACUCUGUACUCUAUAUGAUUGAUGGAAACGACCCACCGACCGUAGUAAUUAAGAAGGAAGAUGUUUGACUGAAACAGUUAUCAUUUAAGUGGCUUGUUUUAACUUUUUUGAACAUUUGAAAAGCUCAUACGCACAUGGAAAAUUGUUUAAGAAGAACUGGUUUAUCCCUGAUUUACCAAUUAAUAUAUUUAUAUAAUAAAAAAAUUAAAGUAAAAACCAUAGAUAACUUAUUUAAACUACGGAGAAUGGACUAUUUUGAAUCGACUAUUCAAGUUUUCAAAAUUGUUAUUUUUUCUACAUAAUUUUUUAAUUUGUUUGAUUUGAGUCAAUUAAUAGUACGCCGACUUUAAAAAUUAAGCUAAUUUUUUUAAUAAAUCUCUAGUUGUGAGAAUUACAUUAAAUAUACUAUCUAAAUUUGUAAAGAUAAACAAAAUAUGUUAACUCACAUAAAUCAAAUAAAGUAAAAGAGUAGAUAAUAAAAUUAAAACUGUAUAAGUUUGAAUAGUGGAUUCAUAAUGAUCCAUAACUCAGCUCUAUAAAUUUCUAUAAUUUUUUUUUUUAAAAAAAAAUAAGUGAGAUCUUGAUCAUAGAUAUUGCCCCACCACCUAAUAAUGAACCCCAUGCUUUUGGCAUAAUGACAAAUGACUCCAUCCAAAAAGGAAAGCACAAAAUUUUCUUUUUCAGAAAAAUCAAAAGAGAAGAAAUCAUUACUGAAGGAGACGGAAAAGCGAGAAAGAGGAGACGAUCAUGACCUUCUAUUUCUUUAAAUGAUAAAUAAAUAUAAUAAAAGUAACAGUAGGGCGAAAUAUGCAUGUCGAAUCCCUCAACAAUAGGCUAUAUGAAUUAUAUCCUCCAACUUUUUUUUUUUAAAGGGCUAUAAUUUUGAUUGGCCGACGUGAAAUAAAUCUUUAAAUUUGUUUUUAUGUAGGUGACAUUAUAGUUUAGAUAGGAAAUUACUGCUUUUCUAUUAUGCAUUUUAAAAUAUAAAUUUUUAUUGACGUUUUUUAGGGGCCGAGUCAAGUUGAUAUGGACUCGUUAUGCACUUGUCAAAAUUGGAACUAUAGUAUCCACUUCCCGGUUAGCAAUGCUCAAAUUUUAUAUUACUAAAAUAAAAUUUCCAAAUUAAUUUUAACAUUUCAUACAAAGUAAUAACUUUAUUUUAUAGUAAUUAUUAAUAAUUAAUGAAAUCUGCAACUUUAUAAAGAACAGGCAAAUUUAAUGUACGCACUAUUCAAUUUCAAAGGCUUUUAAAUUAGCUACAAGAGAUAAUCAAAACUAAAAAUAAUUAAGAGAUAUAUGUCACAAUGACCUGUAAACUACAACUUGUACAGAGGUUCCUAAACAAUUUUUACACCUCUAUAAAAUUUUUUUACCAAACAACCAACAACAAGGGUCAUAUAACCUUACAAUCCUCCGUUCUGGAGUUUAGCCAAAAUUUUUAAAUUUUUAACAUUAAAAAAAGAUUAAUAUUAAAAAAAAUAAAGUGAUAAGCGUAUCAUAAAAUCUACCGUGCCUGGAUAGAAAUAUUAUAAAAUUAUAACUAAAACUUAGUGUAAAUUUUAUUACUCAUGUUGUCGGACAAAAAGCUGAAAAUUCAAUUCUUUGUGUGUGUGUGUGUAUAUAUAUAUUAAGGUUAUUAUAUUUUUAUGAACAAAAAUUUCUUGUUGGCAUAAAUUAUUUUAAAGGAAAACUUCAAAAACUCCCUCUGUGGUUUCGUGUAUUCUCAUUUUGUGCUACCCUGUGGUUUAAAACGUAUCAAUUUACCCCUGUGGUUUCGUUUUAUCUUUUUGUUAUCAAUUUAUUAUUUUUUUUUUAAAAUCAGUGACAAAGUAAAAUUAAGGAUACUAAAAUGACUAUUCGAUAAAUAUAGAUGGUUAUCUGAAGUUUUUUGUAUAUAAUUAACGAAAUAUUAACGAAAAAGCUUCCGAAAAGAUAAAAAUGAAACCACAGGGGGUUAAAUUGAUACUUUUUAAACCACAGGUAGCAAAGUGAAAUGCACGAAACCACAGAGGGGUUUUGAAGUUUCCCUAUUUUAAAUGAUGAAACUUUCAAAUUAAAUACAUACGCUAAAUAUGAUAAAAUAUUUAAUUUUUUUUAAAAAAUAUUUAAGUUUUGUGAAAUUAUAAAAAACUCCAUUGAGCAUAAAAUGAACGAUCAAAUUAAAAAACUUUCUAAAAUAAAAAAUCAAAAUUUUUAUUUAAUAUCAGAGUUAUAGAUCUCAAUCUAAAUAGUGAAUAAAAUUUUCUAUCUAAAAUUCAACCGAUUUUUAUUUUUUAUAUUUUAAAUUAGAAGCAUCUUAUACCUAUCGAUAAAAAUUAUCAAUUUAAAUUUUUUAAUCGUAAAAAAUAAUAUUAAAAAUUUAAUAAAAUUUAAUUUUUUUUUUUUCGAUUUAAAAUACUUCUAAAUUAUGUUUAACGCAUGACGUCGAUAUCGAAAAUUUUAUUAUCAAAAUGACUUAUGAAUAACAAAAGUUGAUUGUACUCCAAAAAUAAUUAGCCGAGUGCGAAAAUUACAUAAAAUACGCUAACUAAAAUAUAUAUAAAAAAAUAAUAUAUUAAAAUUUUAAAAUUAAAUCAAAUAAAUUAAAAGAAAUGUAUAUUAGAAUCGAAUUUUUGGCAAGAAUAGAUAGUAUACCCAAAAUAAUUCCUAUUAUUACGUAUAUCUUUACUCGAAAAGAGAAAAGAAAAGAAGAGAAAAACGCUUGCCUCAAUUUCGGUGUUUGUGGUUUGGGUUAGAAGGCAAGCUCUUGGAGGGGAGGAGGCGAGCGCCCGAGGUGCUCGGAGGGCGCGAAUCCUGCGGGCAAAUUCGCCCGCUUCACGAUCCUCCUCAUGUUGCUCCUGCAAGUCUGCUGCUGCACCACGCCUUCACGGGCGCGCUUCUCCUCGCUCAUCCCACCUCCUCAUGACAUAAAAUUUCUUGUUGGCAUAAUUAUUUUAAAGGAAAACUUCAAAAACCCUCCCUGUGGUUUCGUGUAUUCUCAUUUUGUCACCCUGUGUUUAAAACGUAUCAUUAUCCCCUGUGGUUUCGUUUUAUCUUUUGUUUAUAAUUUUAUUAUUUUUUUUUUAAAAUCAGUGACAAAGUUAAAAUUAAAGAGAUACUAAAAUGACUAUUCGAUAAAUAUAGAUGGUUAUCUGAAUGUUUUUUGUAUAUAAUUUAACGAAAUAUUAACGAAAAAGCUUCCGAAAAGAUAAAAUGAAACCACAGGGGGUAAAUUGAUACGUUUAAACCACAGGUAGCAAAGUGAGAAUGCACGAAACACAGAGGGGGUUUUUGAAGUUUUUCCUAUUUUAAAUGAUGAAACUUUCAAAUUAAUACAUACGCUAAAUAUGAAAAAAUAUUUAAAUUUUUUUAAAAAUAUUUAUAGUUUUGUGAAAUUAUAAAAACUCCAUUGAGCAUAAAAUGAACGAUCAAAUUAAACUUUCUAAAAUAAAAAAUCAAAAUUUUUAAUUUAAUAUCAGAGUUAUAGAUCUCAAUCUAAAUAGUGAAUAAAAUUUUCUAUCUAAAAUUCAACCGAUUUUUAUUUUUUAUAUUUUAAAUUAGAAGCAUCUUAUACCUAUCGAUAAAAAUUAUCAAUUUUAAAAUUUUUUAAUCGUAAAAAAAAUAAUAUUAAAAAUUAUAAAAUUUAAUUUUUUUCGAUUUUAAAUAUCUCUAAAUGAUGUUUAAGGCAUGAAAUCGUCGAAUCGAAAAUUUUAUUAUCAAAAGUGACUUAUGAAUCAAAAGUUGAUUGUACUCCUAAAAAUAAAUUAGCCGAGUGCGAAAAUUACAUAAAAUACGCUAACUAAAUAUAUAAAAAAAAUAAUAUAUUAAAAUUUUAAAUUAAAUCAAAUAAAUUAAAAGAAAUGGUAUUUAGAAUCGAAUUUUUGCAAGAUAGAUAGUAUACCAAAAUAAUCCUAUUAUUACGUAUAUCUUUACUCGGAAAAAGAGAAAAGAAAAGAAGAGAAAAACGCUUGCCCAAUUUUCGGUGUUUGUGGUUUGGGUUUAGAACGGCAAGCUCUUGGAGUGGAGGAGGCGGUGAGCGCCCGGAGGUGCUCGGAGGGCGCGAAUCCUGCGGCAAAUUCGCCCGCUUCACGAUCUCCUCAUGUUGCUCUGCAAGCUCUGCUGCACCAACUGCUUCACGGCGCGCUUCUCUCGCUCAUCCCACCUCCUCCUCUCUGCCUGCCUCCCCCCUCUUCUCCUCCUCCCCCUCUCCCUCCUCCUCCCUCGCCAAUGGCGCCGACACCGCCGACGAGCCCGAUACCUCCUUCCCCUUGUCCACACGGAGAAUCUCGAGCGUCCGCGACGCCCUCUUCUGGGCGAGCGCGCUCCCGAGGAGCGUGAGCUCGAGGAGGGCGGAGACGACCCCGGCGUCGGCUAUGGCGGCGCGGUCGGCGACGCGGCCCUUGUGCGCCAUCACCAUGAGGACGUACGCCGCCUUGUCCUGGCACCCGGGCGCGUCGCACCACCCCAGCGCGUCCACCAGGAUCGGGAACGCCUCCGCCGCGUUCCGCCCCACCGCGCGCCGCCCCUCCGGCGCCGCCGCCACCAGGUUCGCGAGCGUCGCCAGGGCGCGCUCGCCCGCGCCGGCGUCCGCGUCGCCCGCGGCCGCGAGCAGCGCCGGUACGAGCCCCGCGUCCACCAGCCGCGGCGCGUUCGACGCCGCGAUCGAGAGGUUGAAGAGCGCGCGGAGCGCGUCGGAGCCGCUCGGGUUGGGGGUAGGUUUAGGAUAAGGGUUAGGGUUAGGGUUUUGGAAGGCGCGCACCAGGAAGGGGAUCGCGCCGGAGGAACCGAUGAUCGGCUUGUUCGAGUCGAGGGCGCUCAGGCUGAGGAAGUUCGCGACGAUCGCCUCGGAAACGGAAGCGGAAGCGGAAGGGGAAGGGGAGGCCUCGUCCUCCGGGGAUCCGAUCAUCCCCAGCAUCUUGUGCACGGCGCCGGCCUUCACGAUCGCCGCCUUGUUCCUGAACCAAAAUGUGGAUCGACCGAAACCCUAAGAAAUGUCGUUUGGAUCGAUCUGAGGGGACGAGAGAGGUUAGGGUUAGGGCUCACAUGUCGUUGCCGAUCCCGAGGUUGAGGAGCGCGUAGAGCGCCGCGAUCCGGAGCUCGAGAUCGUCGGCGUCCAGCAUCCCGAUCAGGGGCGGGAUCGCGCCGAGCAUCGCCAGCGUCUCCCGCGCCUCGGCGUCGUCCUUCGCGAGCCGCCGCACCUCCUCCGCCGCCUCGCGCCGCCGAUCUCCGCCGUCGCCGUCGACGUGGAGCCGCCGCACCACGCGCUGGAGCUCCUUCAGAGCCUCGACCUUGCGCCGCGCCUCCUCUUCCGCCGCCGCCGUCGCCGUCGCCGUCGCCUCAGCCGCCUCGUCGGAGCCCGACUCCGACGCCUCCGCCCUGAGGAGCUCCGCGAGCCGAUCGGACCUCGGCCGCGGCAUCGGCGACGAGAACGCCGCCGCCGCCACGGCGCAGCCGCGGCCGCCGCCCCUGCGGCGGCGUGGGCGAGAGACGCCGCCGCACAUGAGCGCCUCGAGGAGCCUGCGGCGGAGGGACGCCGCGGAGAAGAGCGGCCAUAGUCGGAACCCCGCGUCGCCACGAUCGCACUUCGCCAUUGCCGCUCCCCAAUGCAAGAACCUGCUCCCCCUCUGUCGAUCACUACGUCACAUCGUCGGAGGAGGAGGACAAAAAGCAGUGGAUGCGACAAUGGCUUGGAGGAGAAGCCACGGCCGUAGAACACUCGGCUUCUCUUAAACGCAGCUUUUACUUCUCUCUCCAGCAUAUAUAUAACGCGGCGCUAUCCUCGAGGUGCGCUCUCUCUCUCUCUUCUCUCUCUCUCCUCUGAGCUCGUCCUUACGGGACGGGCGACACGAUGGCUCUCGCGCCCUGUCGGUUUUUGAGUGCGUUAAUUGCACUAAAUAUUUCACUUUAGUCCCUCAACACUCUAAUAUUUACAACCGAGUAUAUAUGCUCUUUUUUUUUAUUUUAACUACUAAUUUUUAUGACAAAUUAUUUCAACAAAAUGCUAGGUUCUCGUGUUGAAGUUAUAAUUUAAUUUGAUAAAAUAGAUUUAAUAAAAAUAAUUAAUAGGAUUUGAAAAUUUAAACAUAACACGUAAAAAAUAAUUAUUACUUUCGUCCAAGUAUAGUUAUACAUACUAUUGGUCAUCAGUUUGAAAAUUUAAUUAUUUUUUAGUUUAUUUAUUUUCUGGGUUAAAAAAUAGUAUAUAUUUGAGAGAUUUUGAGAUAGAAGGAUAAAUCUAAAAAAUAAUUAAAUAAAAAUUUAUUAAGACCCUCUUAUUUGUAACUAUUUUUAAAAAAUUAAAUUAAAUAUUUUAAAAUGUAGCUUUAAUAAUUUUAUUAAUUAAUCUAUUUUUUAUGAUCAUUGUUGUUAAAUUUAAUAAAAAUAACCUAUGAAUUUGCUAAAAUCUUUGAUUUAGCCGAUAAAAUUUAUUUAUUUGAAGAGAAUUCAAAAUUAAAGGAGAGUAUCAAUCCAACCAAAAAAAAAAAAAAGUUGAGAUGCGAUAUUCUAAAGUCCUAUAAUUUAGGGGUCUCGGUGCAUGUUUACCAAUAUUAAACUUGUGCUAAUGAUGCAAUUAAAGCGUUUGAGAAAUAUAUUUUUAUAAUUAGGCUUGCAUUUCGAGUAUUAUUAUUGAGGCUUAGAAGUGUGUUAUUAAAUAGUUAAAGUAGUCAGAGAUAAUUUGACUUUUUCAGAGGGCCGGGGAGUUAUUGGGUCGUGCUUUAAAAUAAGCGCAGGUUUAAUAGAGAAAGGCUGACUUAGAAAGUACAAGUUAGGUCAUGGAUUUGGUUCGAUUUACAACAAUGCCACUGUACCUGCCAAUAGUGUAAUACACUAUUAAAUAAAUACUCGCUCUGGCCACGGUGAUUUAUUUAAUAAAGGGAAAACUUCGAAUACCCCCUUGUGGAUUAACUUUUUCUCACUUUGGUACCCUAUACUUUAAAGUGUAUCAAGUUAGUACCUUGAGGUUUCGCACUUUCUCACUUUAGUACCUUGUGGUUUAAAGUGUAUCAAGUUAGUACCCUAUAGUUUCGCACAAUAUUUCAUUAAAAGAAAAAUAAAACUACAGGGUAUUAACUUGAUACAAAAAUAAAAUUAAAGGUGCUAAUUUAAUACAAAAAUAAAACCACAAAAUACUAACUUGAUACACUUUAAACUAUAGGGAACUAAAGUGAGAAAGUGCGAAACCACACGAUACUAACUUGAUACACUUUAAAUCAUAGGAUACUAAAAUGAAAAAGUACGAAACCACAAUGGGGUUUUUGAAGUUUUUCCUUUAAUAAAUGAUCUGAAUACGAGUUAAAUUUUUCGACUUGAAAAUUUAAUAAGUAGAACAUAAGUUGAGAUCAGUUCGCUUAUUUUCGACUCGAUAUAGCUCGAAUAUAUAUUUAUUUUUGCUUUUUAAAUUUUUAUCCCAAUCUGAAUAUAAAGAGAUUUAUAUUUUGUAAAUUUAAUUAUUAGAUUAAGAUUUUAAUUUUCUACAUUUUUUUAAACUCAUAUAAUAAUAAAGCCGGUAAUUUAAUUUGUUGUUCGCAAGCUAGCUUGUAUUCGACUCAUUAAUAAAUAAGUCGAACACGAGUUAGAUUUUUCAGUUCGAAAUUUUAACAAGCCAAUUAGUGUGUGGCUCGUUUAAUAAACGAGCGAACAUGAAUUGGCUCUAGCUCAUGUUUAACGGUCGUAUCUGCAGGGAUAAAAAUUAGUAAAAUAUUACCUAUACAUCUUUUAUAAUGUGUAUAUCUUAUAUCGAUGACAUUUUUUUAGUAAAUAAUUUUUUUUUUUAGAGAAAAGUAGCAUGCUAUUUGUUUUAUUUAUUUCAUUUAGAAAUAAAUAUAGCUAGAAAUAUAAAUCAGUUAGAAUUCGAAUUUAGAAUCUUGGGUGAUUUUUUGCCACUUACGCUAGAAACAAUGGGUUUAGUAAAAAAUUGUUAGAUAGGAAAAAAUUAGGACAUAUAUUGUAUACCUGCAUGAUAGGUGUAUAGAUAGUAUUGCUCUAAAAAUUCUAUAAGAUCAGCAUCAAACUAAAAUACGGUGAAGCUGGAUAUAUGUCAUGCACGCGUUUCCGGGAACGAGUACUAUUAUUUGCGAGUACCAAACAAAAUAUUUGAAAAUAAAGAGAUGAAUAAGAUCUGAUUCUUCUUUUUAUUUUCGAAUCAAACCGGGGCUAAAGAAUAAAAAUUAAUAAUAAUAGCAAACUAGGCUUGAGCAAUUAAUUUUUAUAAUUCAAAAUAUGACUAUAUUGUACGGACACGAGGGUGGGGGGCAGAGUUAUUGUUAUGCGGACGGUGCGAUGGACGGGGAAAUGGGAACCGGAUUGUAUGGNGACAGUAACAAUAAUAAAUAUUAUUAUUACUAUUUUUUUUUUUUUCUUGAGAUGGUGUGUGGUCAAGCGUGGUGGAGACCAUAGUUAGUUAGUGGAGAGUCUGGAGACUUGGAGUGGGUGGGGCCCGAGGUAUGGUGUUAAAUUGAUAAUUAAUUACAGAUUGGUCCUUAAAUUUUUCAGAUUUUUCAAUUCAGAUUUUUUUUUAUAAUCAUAUUACAAAUAUUUAUUAUGAAUUUCAAUGGAAUCACUUUUGACAAAAAGUUAUUAUCACUCGGCAAAAUCUAGAGCUUCCGCGGCAUUAAUUUGAUAAAUAUUGGUUAAUACUAACGGAGUAAUUUGGCUAAAUUACAAAAAAAUUUCUGUCAAUACCGAUUUUUUUAUUUUUUUUUGUCAUUCAAAAAUCUAUAAUUUGCUCUGUUAUAAAAUAAAAAUAUUUAUAUGAGAAUACAUUGUGACAAGAUAAUCAAAUUGUCCUCAACUUCUUCGGGUUGGGUGUGGACAGAGGGUGGACGAGGGCGAGAGUGAGGCGGCGGAGGCGAGCGAGAUCGUGUGUGUGGACAUGGAUAGAGAUGUAGGUGAGGGCAAAGUGGCGAAGGGCGAGGUGGUGCGAUCGAGAUCGGAGAGGAAGGAUGAGGGUUUCAAGAAUAUUUUGGGUAUAAAAAAUAUGAUAUAAACAUAAUCCAAACAGUACUGUAACGGAACACUUACGGCGGGUCAAAAUGAACAUUUUUUAUUUAAUAAAGAGACAAAAUGUAGGUUGAGAGAUUUUCUGUAAUUUAGCCUAGUAGUUUUUGUUAAAAUAAAUAUUUUUGAAUACUAAAUAUUAAGAAUAUGAUCUGAAAAAGUUGGCAAUGGAAAAUAAAAUGAUAAUAAAGUUGUGGUACAAUAAACUCUUUAAAUUUUAAAAAACACCAAGUCUCUAUUUAAAAAAGCUUAUAAUUUCUGCAAAAUCUUGUCGGAUUGUUGGCACUAACCACAACUCAAUUAAAACGUAACACUUUCCACGAAUCUCAAUUGUGAUUUGGUUUAACCAGCCUCACGUUACUCCGAAUAUAACUCGACCCAAUAUAGCCUUCUGCCACACAUCAAAAUGCUAGGGCGCAAAUUCAUAGCAUGCGAAAAUUAAAUCCGCGAUCUCUAAUUCUGAUACUACUUAUAAAAUUAUUGGCGCUAAUUAUUAACCCCAAAAGCUCAAACUAUUAGAAAUAUACUACCAACUUAGUUAAAACGUAUAGAUGCAACGCCCAUGAGUCUCUAUUAUGACUUGAUUCAAAUAAUCUCACAUUAUUUUGAAUAUGACUCGGCCCAUUCUAGCCCACGUCAUUUUGAACUUAACUCUGCUAAUCUGACUUUCCGCCGUAAGUCAGAAUGUUGGCUCCUUUAAGACGACACACCUUAUCUAAAAAAUUAUAGAAUUUACUAACCUAUUUUAAAUUUUAGAUAAAAAGAAUAAUACCACAAGUAAAAUAUAGAAGGCUUUUAGCAAACUACAUUAGAUAGUGUCAGUUUAUUUUUAACUAUUUGAGAGUUUUCUUGAAUGAUCGUUACGUGAUUUGAAUAGUGUGACUAGCGUAAGUAUGGGAUCAAUCAAUUGGAUAAAAUUGUAUUUUACGGCAUAAUUUUUAAUAUACAUUUGUAUGCAUAAAUCAGUGUCGGUGCUACUACUUUUUUGCCGCAGUGCUGAGCUGUACGCUUGUACCUAUGUUCCGAAUAGUCAACAGCUGUUGACUUUUAUUAUGUGAAUCUGGAGAUUAGAUCUAUCAAUUUUUUAUUAAAUCAUUGUUCCGUUGGGUAGCGUUUGAUUCGAGAAUAAGGAGAAAAUAAGCCCUCAUUCCCCCUUUGUUCCCAAACGUGAUAUUUGGUAUUCAGGAACAGCAGUUCCGGAAAUUUCAAGAACAAUAGUUCCAGAGUUUCAAGAACCCUUUUUCUAAAAUAAGCUUGUUCCUUAAUGAGAACAAAAUUAAUUAAAAUCUAAAUUUAAUUUUAAUUAACCAGUAAAUUAUUAAUUAAUCUAAUUAAUAUAUUUAAAUUAAUAUUUAUUAUUUUAAUAAUUUAUUAAUUUAUUAAUUUAUUAUUUAUAAUUAAUUAAUAAUAAUUAGAUAAUUAUUAUAAUUAAUUUAUUAUUAUUUAUAAUUAUUUAUUAAUAAUUAAUAAUAUUUAUUGUUAUUUAUUAAUAAUUAUUAAUAAUUAUUAUCCUUAAUAAUUAGAUAAUCGAAAGUAUUAUUAAUUUAUUAUUUAUAAUUAAUUAUUAAUAAUUAGGUAAUUAUUAUUAUUAAUUUAUUACUAGUAAUUAAUUAUUAAUAAUUAUUAUUUACUAAUAAAUAUUAAUUAUUAUUAUUAUUUAUUAAUAAAUAUUAAUAAUUAUUAUUAUUAAUAAUUAGAUAAUCGAUAUUAUUAUUAAUAAAAAUUAGAUAAUCGAUAUUAUUAUUAAUUUAUUAUUAAUAAUUAAUUAAUAAUAAUAAUUAAUAAUUAUUAUUAUUUUAUUAAUAAUUAUCAAUUAUUAUUAUUAUUAAUUAGAUAUUCAAUAUUAUUAAUUUAUUAUUUAUUAAUUAAUUAUUAAUAAUUAUUAAUACUUAUUAUUAUUUAUAAUUAAUUUAUUAAUAAUUAAUUUAUUAUUUAUUUUUAAGUAAUAUUUUGAUGUUAAUUAAUUACAUAAUAUAAUUUUAAUUUUAAAUUAUAACUCUUAUUCCUCUUAUUACAAUUUAACCAUCCAAAUACUAUUUACCUUAUUACUAGAAACAACCCAAUUUUCAUCUAAACGCAAAAUUGGUCUAGUUCCUGCUUAUAUCUGAACUUGUACCUAUCCCUGAAACUAGCAGUUCUUACUUAUACCCGAACCAAACGCAGCCGAAAUUCGAGUUUGGUUCGGAAACGAGAGGAAUAAAUUCUUGUUCCCUCUUUAUUUCCGCAUGUAAUUUUUAGCAUUGAAAAAUAAUAGUUCUCAUAUUUCUAAAAUAAAUUGGUAUAAUUCGGUAUAAAUUUGAAAUUGUUGUUCCAUCCUUUUUUCUAAAACAAACAUAUUUCCAAAUGAAAAUAAGAUCAAUUAAAAUUAAAUUUUAAUUUUAAUUAUAAUAUUAAAUUAUUAUUUAAUCUAAUUAAUAUAUUUAAAUCAUUAUCCAAUUGCUUUAAAUAAUAAAACAAUUAAUUAAUUUAUUAUUUCUAAAUAAUUAGCUAAUUAAUUAUUAAUAAUUUAAUAUGUAAAUUAAUAUUUAUAUUGAUCAGCCAUUAAUUUUUUUAUUAUCUAAUUAAUUUUUUUACGAGUUAUCAAAUUAAUAUAAUUUACUAACUAAUUAAAAAGUUAAAUUAUUUUUAUAUUAAAUUAAUUAAUUAAUAUAUUUUUAUUAUUUUAUACAAUAUUCAUACUUUCAUUCGUUAGUUUAUUCAAUUAUUCCAAUCUAACCAUCNUUUCGAACCAAACGGAAGCUAAAGAAUAAAAAUUAAUAAUAAUAGCAAACUAGGCUUAAGCAAUUAAUUUUUAUAAUUCAAAAUAUAACUAUAUUGUACGGACACGAGGGUAGGGGGCAGAGUUAUUAUUAUGCGGACGGUGCGAUGGACGGGGAAAUGGGAACCGGAUUGUAUGGGGACUUUUUUUUUUUUUUAUUGAGAUAGUAUGGGGUCAAGCGUGGUGGAGACCAUAGUUAGUUAGUGGAGAGUCUGGAGACUUCGAGUGGGUGGGGCCCGAGGUUGCCCUGUUAAAUUGAUAAUUAAUUACAGAUUGGUCCUUAAAUUUCUCAGAAAUUUUAAUUCAGAUCUUUUUUAUUAUAAUCAUAUUACAAAUAUUUAUUAUGAAUUUCAAUGGAAUCACUUUUGACAAAAAGUUAUUAUCACUUGGCAAAAUCUGGCGCUUCCGCGGCAUUAAUUUGAUAAAUUUGAUAAAUAUUGGUUAAUGCUAACGGAGUAGUUUGGCUAAAUUACAAAAAAUUUUCUGUCAAUACCAGCUUUUUUAUUUUUUUGUCAUUUAAAAAUCUACAAUUUACUCUGUUAUAAAAUUAAAAUAUUUAUAUAAGAAUAUACUGUGACAAAAUAAUUAAAUUGUCCUCAACUUCUUCGGGUUGGGUGUGGACAGAGGGUGGACGAGGGCGAGAGUGGGGCGACGGAGGUGAGCGAGGACGUGUGUGUGGACAUGGACAGAGAGGUGGGUGAGGGCCAGGCGGCGAAGGGCGAGGUGGUGCGAUCGAGAUCGGUGAGGAAGGAUGAGGAUUUUAAGGAUAUUUUGGGUAUAAAAAAUGUGAUAUAAACAGAAUCCAAACGGUACUCUAACUGAACACUUACGGCGGGUCAAAGUGAACAUUUUUUAUUUUAUAAAGAAAUAAAAUGUAGGUUGAGAAGUUUCUGUAAUUUAGCCUAGUAGUUUUUGUUAAAAUAAAUAUUUUUGAAUACUAAAAAUUAUGAAUAUGAUCUGAAAAAGUUGGCAAUGGAAAAUAAAAUGAUAAUAAAGUUGUGGUACAAAAACUCUUAAAUUUUAAAAAACACCAAGUCUAUAUUUAAAAAAGCUUAUAAUUUUUGCAAAAUCUUGUCGGAUCUUUGGCACUAACCACAACUCAAUUAAAACGUAACACCUUCCACGUAUCUCAAUUGUGAUUUGGUUCAACCAGCCUCACGUUACUUCGAAUAUAACUCGACCCAAUAUAGCCUCCUGCCACACAUCAAAAUGCUAGGGCGCAAAUUCACAGCAUGCGAAAAUUAAAUCCGUGAUCUCUAAUUCUAAUACUACUUAUAAAAUUAUUUGUGCUAAUUAUUAACCCCAAAAGCUCAAACUAUUAGAAAUAUACGACCAACUUAGUUAAAGCGUACAGAUACAACAUCCGUGAGUCUCUAUUAUGACUUGGUUUAAACAAUCUCACAUUAUUUCGAAUAUGACUCAGCCCAUUCUAGCCCACGCCAUUUUGAACGUAACUUUGCUAACCUGACUUUCCGCGCACAGGUCAGAAUGCUGGCUCCUUUCAAACGACACACCUUAUCUAAAAAAUUAUAGAAUUUACUAACCUAUUUUAAAUUUUAGAUAAAAAGAAUAAUACCACAAGUAAAAUAUAGAAGGCUUUUAGCAAACUACAUUAGAUAGUGUCAGUUUAUUUUUAACUAUUUGAGAGUUUUUUUGAAUGAUCGUUACGUGAUUUGAAUAGUAUAUAUAUAUUUUUCGAGAGAUAGAUAGCACACUAUUCGCUUCAUUUAUUUCAUUUAGAAAUAAAUUUAGCUAGAAAUAUAAAUCAACUAGGAUUCGAAUUUGGACCUCGGGUACCAAUCAUCAAAUUUUUUGUCACUUCUCUAG
This 14983-nucleotide long non-coding RNA is filed under the name Ananas comosus (pineapple). RNAcentral describes it as "long non-coding RNA (ACOM_LNC002926)". The record is from RNAcentral. Lineage: Eukaryota; Viridiplantae; Streptophyta; Magnoliopsida; Poales; Bromeliaceae.